GCGCCGCGUGGGCCGGGCGGGAGGACCCGUCCCCGCUCUCUCCGCGCGGGGGCUCUGGGGACGCCGGGAACUCGGGCGUCCGUCCCUGCGCGGCGGCCGCCGGAGCCGGGGAGGGGGGAGAAGAGGCCGGGGACCGAACUGGGCCGUGGAGGCGCCGCGGGCGGCCUGCGGGACCGGCCGGAAGGGAGGAGGCACCCGGCCGCGAAACGCGUCCCCAAAGUCGCUGCACGCGGCGGGACGCGGGCGCCACCGCCAGCGAGGGCGUGGGCGAAGAAAGCUGGUUCCUGUCCGCAGCAGGACUGAAUGCUGGAUACCUGGUCCAUGGCCUGUGGGUCACACUGUAAGGACAGAGUUCUUAUCCUGCUGUCGCAUUAGAAGGAUUCUGAAGUCAAAAGCUUUGUAAACUCUCACACUUACUAUGGUGCUGGAUUCCAGGGUGACACAGUUUUGAAGAGACAAGUUUACAGACAUUCUGGCCAACGGACUGUCCACUGUCUUUUCUCGUAAGAGGCUCUCGAGAAUGGAAGCCACAUGCUACCAGCAACACAGAGGAGCCUGGUGGCCUGGCGUGCACACAUGACCUCCAGUUCCUUCUCCGCUCUUGUGAGUGCAUCUGCCCGAUGCAGCUUUGCAGCCCCUUGUGGGAAGAGGCGAAUCCCUCUCUCCAUCCUGUGAACCUGGCGUGAGUGGGUUGAGAAGGCUGUCCUUUCAGUGGGCCUUGGUGACGGGGGGUGUCACAGCCAGGGUGGCAGGAGAGGAGGGUUUACCUGCGGGGGAGAUGCUUGUCCCUGAACUUGGAAAUUAGUUACGUGUGGAAAGAUUGAUCACAUAAUGAACUGUGCUAAAGAUAAUGGGAGUCCGGCUUACUGCUGUUGAAGGGAGUUGCCAGUACAGAAAUUUGGAGAGCGAGGUGUGAAUCGGGUCAGGUGUGUGGGUGUGAACUGAUGGUUUUCAGUGCACAUUCAUAUAAAUAUGUGUGUGUUUUUAUGUCUGUGUCUAUAAACGUGUCUGUUCGUAUAUAUGGGUGCACACGUGUGUGUCGCACUGAGGGAGCCUGCGUGGGCAGCUGGUACCACACCAGCAAGAAGCACACCUCCCACCCAGAUCUUGGCUUCUAAAGACCAUUUUCCAGCACAGGUGGGAGCAGAGGUCCUUGGAGAAAUGGCCGGUUCCAGGCCUGGGACAGAGAAAGUGCGCCGGCAAGCAGGGAGGUGCCUUCUGACCUUUGAGGUUCGGUGGCAGAAGCGGCCCUGCUCGUGAGGGAGGAUUACACAGGGGAGAUGAGGUUGGGGGCACCUGGGAACCGUGAAGGACGAGUGGGAGUUUGCCAGGCAGCGCGCUGAGGAAGGAAGCAGUAGCUGAGGGGCAGUGGCGGCCUUACGAGUGAAGAAGGGGAUGGAUGACACCUGCCGCGGAGCAGUGGGACGUGUUUGGCCUACAUGUGCUGAAGAGAAAAACGGGGCUGGAUGGUGAUUGGCCUGUGUGAGCCACACGCAGGGACUUAGACUUGACUCUUUUGACCAUGUUGUCUGUACCCACCUACCGGAGCCCCCCCCAGAUCUCAGCGACUGCGGACAACAUGCGUCGUUCCCCGGUUUCUGCUGGUGGGAGUCUGGGAGCCACUGGGCUGCGGGGCUGCGGCUCAGGGUCUCCAGGAGGCCGCAGUAAGGGCCUUGGCCAGGCCUCUGGGCAUCUCCAGGCUGACAGGGAGGCUCUCCCUCACGAGCUAGCUGGCAGGCCUGGGUCCUUUCCAGCCGUUGGCAGAGACCUCAGUCGCUCUCCGCAUGGGUGUCUCCUUGGAGAGUCGCACAGCAUGGCCGCUGGCCUCCCUGCCCACAAGGGGUUGGGGGGAGAGAAUGCACCAGAGAGUCCCCCAGGCAGACGCCACAGUUCCCAUAACUCACCGUAGAAAGAACAGCCCAUGGCUUCCUCUGAGUUGUGUUCACUGGAAGCAAGUCACCCAAUUGAGCCUUUGCCCAGAGGGCAGGAAUCACACAAGGACAUGAUCCCGGGGGACAGGAUCGAUGGGGCUAUCUGAGAGGGUGCCCCCAGAGCCCAGGCUGGGAACGGGGAGGGCACAGUUCUGCACACAGCUGCAGGGAGGGUGGGUGAGGGCAAGCCUGGGGGGGGUGAGGUCAUUUAGGAGGUGGCCAUCCAAGAUAAUUGCAUGGGAAAGAAGGAAGGGACCUUGUUACCAAUACCUGGGAGCGGUGCGGGUGGGAGGAAGGAGGGCCGGGGGCCCCCAGGGGUGUGGGUGCCUCCCAGAUCCAGGUGAGCGCCGGCCACAGCGGCGCUGCUUUCCCAGGACUUACAUUGGCUUACGGACGACAGUGGCUCGAAACCAGCAUCUGCGGAGUUUUGCAGGAAAACAAGGGCUUGUUUGAAAAAUACAUGCUCAGGCUGUGCCAGUCCCUUCCCUUGGAUGUCACACCAGGUACCCGGCCCUAACUGCUCAUAGUGACGCAGCCAUGGAAGGUUGCUGGGUUCGCGGGUGGCCGGACCGCACCGGGCUGCUCAGCUCCAGCCAGUCCCUCGUGGCGCCGGCGCUGGGAUCUUCAGUCAGGGCCUCGGAAGGACCCUACUCCUUCCUGCAUCUCCCCUUUGUUCGACAGCUGACCUGAGCACCAGUGACUUUACAGAAUCAUGUUUUCACAGAGAUGUUGGGUUUUUAAUUUCAGGCCUGUCAUCGGCAAGCCAGUCUAAACAAGGUUACCUGUGACUCUGGGGCGUGGACAUACCGAGCCACAGGACUGGGGAGGGGAGGCCACAGGCCAUCCCUUGUGGAAACCGUAGAGAGAAAAAGCAUGUCAGGUUUGCUUCACUCCAGUCUUUCCCUUGCAUCAUUACGGUCAAAGUUAAAAACAAGCGUGAAGACUGCCCUUUAAUCCUGGUGAUUUCUGGGAAUUUAGCCGUCUGGGUGAGUGGUUAAAACAUGCUGCUGGAAGGUGUGAACCGGACCUCGGGCUUCCCUCCCAGAAGGAGGGCUGGUGGCCACCACUUCAGGGCACACCCAGCUCAGAGCCUGUAGAGCCCUGUACGGUGUUAUGCUGGUGACACCAGGUGUUGAAAGUAAAAAAUGUAAUUUAUUCCACAUUUUUAACAUGGUUAUACUUGUUACCUAGUAUUUGUACUUAAGGCUGACCUUGAAUCAUAAGCGAUUAUAAACAUGAUGCUCCUAGAACAUUUAUAUCCGGUGAUCUUGUUUAGGGAACGCUCGUACAGAAAAUGAUGGGGCACUUGAAAGGCCUGAUACAUCCUAAGCAUGGAAGGGACCACCUUCCAGUUUCCUAGGAGCUUUUUUACAUUAUCUUUAUUUUUAUGUAUUUUAUUUUCCUUUUUCUGUCAGUUGGACAAUUGAAGUGUUUUUGAAGAUACAGGUUAUCACACAUGUUAAAUGUUUAAUAUUUGGAAAAUUUGCUUUUCUGGUUAAUUGAACUUUCCAUAUAGAUGAAGGUUAAGCAAAAAUCUUUUCUAGAAAAUCUCAUGAAGUAAAUUAGUUUGCCUUCCCUGUUUUUCAAGUGUACAGAGCAUAAUGAAGCCUCUUUCACUGCAAAAUUAGUAAUUCUAAAGUAGCGUCAGCAUGAAACUAAAGGACCUUGCUCACAAUAGGAAAGAUAUGGAAACAACCUAAGUGUCUGUCAACAGAUGAAUGAAGUGUGUGUAUGUAUAAUAUUCCAUUAUAUAUGGAGGUAUACAUAUAUAACAUAAUGGAGUUUUAUAUGAUAUUAUUCAUGUUAG
RNA transcript from Lutra lutra (Eurasian river otter), 3738 nucleotides. It is a transcript of the gene named gamma-glutamylamine cyclotransferase, with no coding region annotated. Lineage: Eukaryota; Metazoa; Chordata; Mammalia; Carnivora; Mustelidae. The record is from RefSeq and is a predicted model, not a curated record. The transcript has 3 exons.